GACGAACCGUGCGAACGUUGUUCGGAAUCACUGGGCUUAAAGGGCGCGUAGGCGGGCGACCGAGUCCGGGGUGAAAGCCUUCGGCUUAAACGGAGAAGUGCCUGGGAUACUGGUCGUCUGGAGGGAGGUAGGGGCAGCUGGAACUUCCGGUGGAGCGGUGAAAUGCGUUGAUAUCGGAAGGAACGCCGGUGGCGAAAGCGAGCUGCUGGACCUCUUCUGACGCUGAGGCGCGAAAGCCAGGGGAGCAAACAGG
Molecule: ribosomal RNA, 253 nt
Filed under: uncultured bacterium
Lineage: Bacteria
Description: partial 16S ribosomal RNA
Rfam family: Bacterial small subunit ribosomal RNA
Source: RNAcentral